CAACUGGUAAGAGCUAAUGGACUCCACAAGCUCCUCCAAAAUCUCCACCGCCACCUCCUUCCGACGGCCGUCCAAUCGCCUCCUCUAUGAUCGCCGUUACGGUUGGGUGUAAAAAUCUCUCUCUUUUCUUUCUAAUCUAUGUUUAGUUGUCAGUAUUUCUAUGCGAAGAACAACAAUUAAGGAUAAUUUUAUUAAAGUACUUUUGCUUUGUAGGUUUGAUGAAUGGAAAGAACCCUCAGAGGAAGCUCUAGCUGGUGGCCGGGGAAUGUUCUGCAUAUUGCCUCUGGCAAAAGCUUUCCUGAAUACUGCUACGAACUCGGUACGUUGUGUUUGGGUUCUCUGUUAUGUUAGUAAAUUAUUUGUAAGUUCCUAUUGAUUGGCCGUGUUGAUUGUUUAAUGUGAAUUUUUAUUUUCUAUUUUGUAUGACUGGAGAAUUUUUAUGCACUGAAAACUUUUAUGUCUUGGAGUAGAAUUGAGUUGUUAGUACUUGUGAAAACUUAAAACCCUAAAAUUAAGUACUGCUAUAUGUAAAAGGUUCUAUGAUUUUACCAUUACUAUGAAAUAAAUUUUUAGGACUGGCUUUUACAACCUUAUAUUCAGUCUAUUUGUAUUAAUGGCAAAAUGCUUUGAUUUUGGUAUGUUAAGUUUGUGGUAUUUUGUUAAUUAUUGAUUUAGACAAGAGCUUGGUUGACCCUUUUCCCUUCUCUUUCUUCUCAAAAAAAUUUAAUUGCGUCGGGUCUAUAAGUGGAAGCUCUAGCCCAUCUGUUUUUCUCUUUUUGUUUUUAAUAGAAUUUAGAUGAGGAUUUGUUUCAGACACUGUAUCCAUUGCCUUCUUAAUGUCUGUGGUUAUGCAGUUGAGGAUGAAGUUGUCCUAUUCAAUCUCUCAAUUCAUCUGCUUUGACAUAUCUAGUUUUCCCUUUAACAUGUUGAAUAUGUAUGGGUGAAGAUAUUCUAAAGAUACAAAAAACUUUGAAUCAGGUGAGCAAUAAAAGCGGGUGAAUUAAAAAUUUUCCUGUUUAACAUUUUUUCCCUUAAAGCACUUAAGCUAGAGAUCGUUCCAUGCUCUAGGAUAUCUCCUUGAGAAUUAGCAAUCCCGUAAUUCAAGAAUAGCUAUCCAAAGUAAAUAUAUAACAAUUUGUAUAUCUUUGUACCUUCUCUAUAGAUUAUCUGAAUUACCUUUUACCUUCUUCCUUGAGAUAUUUGAAGAAUAAAGUUCCAUAAGAAAGAGUGCCUGAAGUUCUGCUUUGUUGUAAAGGCCAGGGAUGCAGUAGCUUUGGAGAUUAAGAAUAACUCAGUUCCACAUAAUCAUGUGUGUUACAUAUUGCUCUCUUUGUUGCCCUGGAUUUGUUGAGCGAUAAUUGGACUUGGCAUAUAAUGGUUGCGAGCUCACUACUGGGUUAAAUAUGACACAUAAUCUGAUACCACAAUUCUGGUAAGAUCAGAUAUGAUUUAUGGAGAGCACCUUGAGAAGGGUGAAAAGAAUUUGAAAUUCUCUGGUGAUUAUUGCUGGGACUAAUACUGCUACAUUUCUUCUAAUCAUAAUGUUUUCACUUGAUAAAUUCUCUUCUAAUCAGAUACUUUUUCCCUUUUCUUUCCUAAUUAGUAAGUGGAUUCCAGAAUGACGUGUACUUCCACUGAAACCUACUUUAGCACUUACCAUUUUUGCCAUUCUGGCUGGGCUUAUAGCUCUAAUUUUUACUGUCUUGAUUGUUUAGUUUGCAUUCAUGAGAGCACAAACUCAAGUUUAAAAACCAGGCCUAGCAACAAGAUAAAUAUUUCAGCUUAAUUGACUUCUAUUUACAUUACUUAGAAUUUGACUGACUGAGAGAAGUGAGGCUACCAUUGUAAAUUGAAUGCUUAUUGUUCACAAGCUGUAAUUCAACAAAGCUGCAAUUGGUGGGUUUUUUUAAGUCCAUGUCAUUAAUUAUUUGAAAGAGUAAAAGAUUUUGUGAAGGAGGAAUCUUCAUAAAGGUAGUGGAGAUCUCCGAAUAAAGGAAUUAAAGAUGUAGAGAAGUGGAAGACACGGCUAGUCGGGGAAGUUAUGUUGGUUAUAUCUAUGCUUUUUCAAUUUUACUCAAACCUUUUAAUUUUGGCUAAUUUACCCAAAAUUGCAAAAUCAGUGUCACUUUACCCAUUGGCCAAAGUUGAAAAUAAAUAAAUAAAUAAAUUUUAAUAAUAAACCUAAUAAAAAUUCAUUUUUAAUUUUGGUCUUGGGAAUUGGAGGUGGGGAAGGAGUAAGAAAGAGAAAAAAAAAAUUAAAAAUAUUUCUUAUUUAAAUGAAAUAUUAGAAAUUAUGUAUCAAUUUUGACUAAUUUAUUUCAAUUGAUUAAAAUUGACUCUAAUUUUGCAAUUUAGGGUAAUCAUAAGCCUUAUAUCUAAUAUGUAAUUUGGUGUUUACAAGAGUAGGAACUUGUGAACAUGCCAUUUACUUUGUUGGAAUUUAAUUUGAGGUUACAUUUGCUAGUUAAUGUCAAAAUAAUCUUGCAACUGACCCUCGUUAUCAUUGAUGGAUGCAUUACCUGUAUAUAUUGUUCAUGUGGUUUAAAAGAUUUCAUUUUCUCACAAAAUGACCAAUUCAAUACAUGUUUCAAUGUGCUUGAACUCCUAGUUGAUCUUUGUCAUUUUGAUGCACAGCUGGAUCAAAUGAAUAUUCUUUGAUUGUGCCAGCAUAUUUUUAUUUUGUUUUUGCAGUUACUUUUUUUCCCCCCUAAUUUGGAAUAUGAGACAGAAAAGUCCAAGGUUGUUGACUAUAGAGAAAAUUAAAAUAGUUAUGUCCUUUUUACUUACAUCCUCUCUUCAUUUUCUCACAGGUUAAUCUUGCAGCAAAUUUUGCUGUCAAAGUUUUUGAAAGGCCAGAUCUUUUCUCCCCUCAGGCACUGCAGGCAAAUCUUGAUAAGCAGCUUAAAAAAUUCGGUUCUUCCAUGAAAACCCCAGAAAUCAACAUUUUUGCUCUCAAUGUAAAGAAUUCAUCGAAAACCUCCACCUUCCUGUCACAUCUACAAGUAGGAACUACAGAAUCAGAUAUGACUUGAAGUAUGUAAACUUCACUUCCUAUAAUUUCAUGUGAAUCUACUUUAUAUUAUUUCAAGUCUUUGAUGGAUUUAUAUGGAUUUUCAUGUAUGAAACACAAUAUUGUUGGCUUGUAACAACACUAUAUUUGAUAGAUGAUGAAUCUGUUCACGUACAAUAAUUUUCAGCCAAGCAUGUUUGUCAAAUGGCUUGUGAAGUUAAAGACAACUUCCUCACCUGAAAACAGGUAUAAUUUUGCCAUUUCAAUAAUCUUCAU
Molecule: unclassified non-coding RNA, 3286 nt
Filed under: Hevea brasiliensis (rubber tree)
Lineage: Eukaryota; Viridiplantae; Streptophyta; Magnoliopsida; Malpighiales; Euphorbiaceae
Source: RNAcentral